CUCAUGGACCAUAGCAUUCUGAAAGCACUUGAUCCCAUUAAAUCUUGGAAGUUAAGCAAGGUUGGUGCCUGUUACUAUUCGGAUGAGA
This is a ribosomal RNA of Cricetulus griseus (Chinese hamster), 88 nucleotides long. Lineage: Eukaryota; Metazoa; Chordata; Mammalia; Rodentia; Cricetidae. The record is from Ensembl.